This 497-nucleotide ribosomal RNA is filed under the name uncultured bacterium. Its description in RNAcentral is "partial 16S ribosomal RNA". It matches the Rfam family "Bacterial small subunit ribosomal RNA", at positions 28 to 507 of the family's 1533-position model. The record is from RNAcentral.
GAUGAACGCUGGCGGCGUGCCUAAUACAUGCAAGUCGAGCGAACGGACGAGAAGCUUGCUUCUCUGAUGUUAGCGGCGGACGGGUGAGUAACACGUGGAUAACCUACCUAUAAGACUGGGAUAACUUCGGGAAACCGGAGCUAAUACCGGAUGAUAUUUUGAACCGCAUGGUUCAAAAGUGAAAGACGGUCUUGCUGUCACUUAUAGAUGGAUCCGCGCUGCAUUAGCUAGUUGGUAAGGUAACGGCUUACCAAGGCAACGAUGCAUAGCCGACCUGAGAGGGUGAUCGGCCACACUGGAACUGAGACACGGUCCAGACUCCUACGGGAGGCAGCCGUAGGGAAUCUUCCGCCAAGGGCGAAAGCCUGACGGAGCAACGCCGCGUGAGUGAUGAAGGUCUUCGGAUCGUAAAACUCUGUUAUUAGGGAAGAACAUAUGUGUAAGUAACUGUGCACAUCUUGACGGUACCUAAUCAGAAAGCCACGGCUAACUACGUG